GCCCAUUUGGCUCAGUGGAUAGAGUGUUGGCCUGAGGACCGAAGGGUCCUGGGUUCAAUUCCAGUUAAGGGCA
Myotis brandtii (Brandt's bat) is the source of this 73-nucleotide non-coding RNA. The record is from Rfam. NCBI's taxonomy places the organism in Eukaryota, Metazoa, Chordata, Mammalia, Chiroptera, Vespertilionidae.